AUAGAGCUUAUAUAGGAAUGCUGCGAUAGGUGUCGUAUUCCUAUAGGUAGAUGUGAUCAGCUGAGAAUCAGCUGAUGCAAGCUUGACUCACGUGACCUGCCAGAACUAACGCUAACGCUUAAUUAAUAUUUAAAAAAAAUUAUGCGAAUAUAUGGUGGUUGAAAUACAAUACUGCGUGAUCUCAACCAAUCAGCAUGCUCAGCGCCUAAGUCCCGCCCCCGAAAGUUCUGGACCUUUGGAAAAAUACUACCUCGCGAGCAGGGACUUUCUGAGGGGCUUUAUUUAGAUCCUGAUUCCUGCAGUGGAAACACAUCGAAUUCCGCCCAAUGUCCCUAGUUCCUGCGGUGGAAACGGUGCUUUAGAUGGCCUACUAUCAUCACUUUAUUUUGGUAGAAAGUAGAGCGAGAGAUCAAUAGGAAAGACAGUAUUGAGAAAUGGCACGAGGCUCGAACUCUACCACACAUGUGAGAACCAUUGCUAAACAUAGCUAACUUUAAUCCACCUCAAAUAGGUUUUCUUCGCAUAUAUCAUCCUGUCUCUCAUUUCACCACUUCAUCCUGUUUUCUCUUAAAUCAGACUAACUACUAACUCACCCCCUCCUUUCACUUCAGAACCCACGCCUAAGGAGACAGAGGUUACACGCCGCUUUUCUUUAGCCUCAACUGUCAGCUCCGCCUCUGCACCGCGCACUAAAGUUCCUCUCUCCUCUAGCCUUAAGAGCAAGAGGCAUCAGGUCAAGAGCGACCCUACACCAUUUGGCUAUGAAGACACCAUGCGAGGUGCACUUCCCGCUGAGAGCAAAAGUAAAGGUAGUGCCGGUACCAAGCCCGCUGUGCCGAGGUCUGCGUCUCAACCAGGAUGGAGUCAACGGCGUCUGCCAUCAAUGGACGCUGAGGAUUUUGAGACCAUUCCAUCAAGUGCAGAAGAACUCUCCAUUUCCUCAGAUGGAGAGGAUGAAGGACAAAACAAAAACGUGUGUGUCUGGCUCUACAACAUCUUCAUUUACUUUCUGUCAGCAUAUCUCAUUCGUUUCUUUGCAUAUUUGUAUUGAGGGACAAAAAAAGUCAAAUAUUCCUUAAAGGGAUAGUUCACCCCG
Molecule: long non-coding RNA, 1096 nt
Filed under: Sinocyclocheilus grahami
Lineage: Eukaryota; Metazoa; Chordata; Actinopteri; Cypriniformes; Cyprinidae
Description: lncRNA (ENSSGRG00000051441.1)
Source: RNAcentral